RNAcentral lists this ribosomal RNA (485 nucleotides) under uncultured bacterium. Its description in RNAcentral is "partial 16S ribosomal RNA". It matches the Rfam family "Bacterial small subunit ribosomal RNA", at positions 28 to 507 of the family's 1533-position model. The record is from RNAcentral.
GAUGAACGCUAGCUACAGGCUUAACACAUGCAAGUCGAGGGGCAGCAUGACCUAGCAAUAGGUUGAUGGCGACCGGCGCACGGGUGAGUAACACGUAUCCAACCUGCCGAUUAUUCCGGGAUAGCCUUUCGAAAGAAAGAUUAAUACUGGAUAGCAUAACGAGAAGGCAUCUUCUUGUUAUUAAAGAAUUUCGAUAAUCGAUGGGGAUGCGUUCCAUUAGUUUGUUGGCGGGGUAACGGCCCACCAACACAUCGAUGGAUAGGGGUUCUGAGAGGAAGGUCCCCCACAUUGGAACUGAGACACGGUCCAAACUCCUACGGGAGGCAGCAGUGAGGAAUAUUGGUCAAUGGACGAGAGUCUGAACCAGCCAAGUAGCGUGAAGGAUGACUGCCCUAUGGGUUGUAAACUUCUUUUAUAUGGGAAUAAAGUGGGCCACGUGUGGCUUUUUGUAUGUACCAUACGAAUAAGGAUCGGCUAACUCCGUG